This 228-nucleotide ribosomal RNA is filed under the name uncultured bacterium. RNAcentral's name for it is "partial 16S ribosomal RNA". It matches the Rfam family "Bacterial small subunit ribosomal RNA", at positions 1272 to 1500 of the family's 1533-position model. The record is from RNAcentral.
CCUAAAAAACCGUUACUCAGUUCAGAUUGCAGGCUGCAACCCGCCUGCAUGAAGUCGGAAUUGCUAGUAAUCGCGGAUCAGCACGCCGCGGUGAAUACGUUCCCGGGCCUUGUACACACCGCCCGUCACACCAUGGGAGCCGGUAAUACCCGAAGUCAGUAGUCCAACCUCGUGAGGACGCUGCCGAAGGUAGGAUUGGCGACUGGGGUGAAGUCGUAACAAGGUAAC